Molecule: ribosomal RNA, 503 nt
Filed under: uncultured bacterium
Lineage: Bacteria
Description: partial 16S ribosomal RNA
Rfam family: Bacterial small subunit ribosomal RNA
Source: RNAcentral
AUUGAACGCUGGCGGCAGGCUUAACACAUGCAAGUCGAGCGGGGUGAUGGUGCUUGCACUAUCACUUAGCGGCGGACGGGUGAGUAAUGCUUAGGAAUCUGCCUAUUAGUGGGGGACAACAUCUCGAAAGGGAUGCUAAUACCGCAUACGUCCUACGGGAGAAAGCAGGGGAUCACUUGUGACCUUGCGCUAAUAGAUGAGCCUAAGUCGGAUUAGCUAGUUGGUGGGGUAAAGGCCUACCAAGGCGACGAUCUGUAGCGGGUCUGAGAGGAUGGUCCACCACACUGGGACUGAGACACGGACCAGACUCCUACGGGAGGCAGCAGUGGGGAAUAUUGGACGAUGGGGGGAACCCUGAUCCAGCCAUGCCGCGUGUGUGAAGAAGGCCUUAUGGUUGUAAAGCACUUUAAGCGAGGAGGAGGCUACUCUAGUUAAUACCUAGGGAUAGUGGACGUUACUCGCAGAAUAAGCACCGGCUAACUCUGUGCCAGCCGCCGCCGUAA